RNAcentral lists this ribosomal RNA (253 nucleotides) under uncultured bacterium. RNAcentral describes it as "partial 16S ribosomal RNA". It matches the Rfam family "Bacterial small subunit ribosomal RNA", at positions 524 to 776 of the family's 1533-position model. The record is from RNAcentral.
AACGGAGGAGGCUAGCGUUGUUCGGAAUUACUGGGCGUAAAGCGCGCGCGGGCGGUUAUGCAAGUCAGGGGUGAAAGCCCGGGGCUCAACCUCGGAACGGCCUUUGCGACUGCAUGACUUGAGACCGGAAGAGGAGAGUGGAAUUCCCAGUGUAGAGGUGAAAUUCGUAGAUAUUGGGAAGAACACCAGUGGCGAAGGCGGCUCUCUGGUCCGGUACUGACGCUGAGGCGCGAAAGCGUGGGGAGCAAACAGG